RNAcentral lists this ribosomal RNA (726 nucleotides) under uncultured bacterium. Its description in RNAcentral is "bacterial SSU rRNA". It matches the Rfam family "Bacterial small subunit ribosomal RNA", at positions 94 to 823 of the family's 1533-position model. The record is from RNAcentral.
AGCGGCGAACGGGUGAGUAACACGUAGGUGAUCUGCCCAUCAGACGGGGACAACGAUUGGAAACGAUCGCUAAUACCGGAUAGGACGAAAGUUUAAAGGUGCUUCUGGCACCGCUGAUGGAUGAGCCUGCGGCGCAUUAGCUAGUUGGUAGGGUAAAGGCCUACCAAGGCGACGAUGCGUAGCCGACCUGAGAGGGUGAACGGCCACACUGGGACUGAGACACGGCCCAGACUCCUACGGGAGGCAGCAGUAGGGAAUCUUCGGCAAUGGGCGAAAGCCUGACCGAGCAACGCCGCGUGAAUGAUGAAGGCCUUCGGGUUGUAAAAUUCUGUUAUAAGGGAAGAACGACUUUAGUAGGAAAUGGCUAGAGUGUGACGGUACCUUAUGAGAAAGCCACGGCUAACUACGUGCCAGCAGCCGCGGUAAUACGUAGGUGGCGAGCGUUAUCCGGAAUUAUUGGGCGUAAAGCGAGCGCAGGCGGAAAAAUAAGUCUAAUGUGAAAGCCCUCGGCUUAACCGAGGAACUGCAUCGGAAACUGUUUUUCUUGAGUGCAGAAGAGGAGAGUGGAACUCCAUGUGUAGCGGUGGAAUGCGUAGAUAUAUGGAAGAACACCAGUGGCGAAGGCGGCUCUCUGGUCUGCAACUGACGCUGAGGCUCGAAAGCAUGGGUAGCGAACAGGAUUAGAUACCCUGGUAGUCCAUGCCGUAAACGAUGAGUGCUAAGUGU